CUACCAUGGCAGUCACGGGUAACGGAGAAUUAGGGUUCGAUUCCGGAGAGGGAGCCUGAGAAACGGCUACCACAUCUACGGAAGGCAGCAGGCGCGAAAAUUGCCCAAUCCUGACACGGGGAGGCAGUGACAAGAAAUAACAACUCUAGGUUUUCUUAGAAGUGUAAUGAGGAUAAUUUACAAACCUUACCGAAUGCAAUUGGAGGGCAAGUCUGGUGCCAGCAGCCGCGGUAAUUCCAGCUCCAAUAGCGUAUAUUAAAGUUGUUGCAGUUAAAAAGCUCGUAGUUGAAGUUCUGAUUGUUCGGGUUUCUAGACAUUAGUCGGAGAUACUGACAGUCGUCCGCUUGCAAACAUAUGUUCGAUCUUUACCGGUUGGCUAUGUGAGUAAGCAUUUUACCUUGAGAAAAACAGAGUGUUCCAGGCAGGUUUGUCCGGAAUGUAUUAGCAUGGAAUAAUAGAAUAUGACUGAAGUCUAUUUAUUGGUUACAGGCUUUAGUAAUGAUUAAUAGGAACAGUCGGGGGCAUUCGUACUCAGCAGUCAGAGGUGAAAUUCUAAGAUUUGCUGAAGACGAACUAAUGCGAAAGCAUUUGCCAAGGAUGUUUUCAUUAAUCAAGAACGAAAGUUAGGGGAUC
Molecule: ribosomal RNA, 633 nt
Filed under: uncultured eukaryote
Lineage: Eukaryota
Description: SSU rRNA
Rfam family: Eukaryotic small subunit ribosomal RNA
Source: RNAcentral